GAUGAAGAACGCAGCGAAACGCGAUAAGUAAUGCGAAUUGCAGAAUUCAGUGAGUCAUCGAAUCUUUGAACGCACAUUGCGCCCUGUGGUAUUCCGCAGGGCAUGCCUGUUCGAGCGUCAUUUCAACCCUCAAGCUCUGCUUGGUGUUGGGCCCUGCCCGCUGCGGCCGGCCCUAAAGACAGUGGCGGUGCCGCCUGGCCCUGAGCGUAGUACAUCUCUCGCUCCAGUGCCCGGUGGUAGCCUGCCAGAACCCCAACUCUCGUGGUUGACCUCGGAUCAGGUAGGGAUACCCGCUGAACUUAAGCAUAUCAAUAAGCGGAGGA
RNAcentral lists this unclassified non-coding RNA (323 nucleotides) under soil metagenome. Its description in RNAcentral is "partial contains 5.8S ribosomal RNA, internal transcribed spacer 2, and large subunit ribosomal RNA". The stretch from base 1 to 120 matches the Rfam family "5.8S ribosomal RNA", at positions 35 to 154 of the family's 154-position model. The record is from RNAcentral.